This 468-nucleotide ribosomal RNA is filed under the name uncultured bacterium. RNAcentral describes it as "partial 16S ribosomal RNA". It matches the Rfam family "Bacterial small subunit ribosomal RNA", at positions 28 to 507 of the family's 1533-position model. The record is from RNAcentral.
GACGAACGCUGGCGGCGUGCUUAACACAUGCAAGUCGAACGGAAAGGCCCUGCUUUUGUGGGGUGCUCGAGUGGCGAACGGGUGAGUAACACGUGAGUAACCUGCCCUUGACUUUGGGAUAACUUCAGGAAACUGGGGCUAAUACCGGAUAGGAGCUCCUGCGGCAUGGUGGGGGUUGGAAAGUUUCGGCGGUUGGGGAUGGACUCGCGGCUUAUCAGCUUGUUGGUGGGGUAGUGGCUUACCAAGGCUUUGACGGGUAGCCGGCCUGAGAGGGUGACCGGCCACAUUGGGACUGAGAUACGGCCCAGACUCCUACGGGAGGCAGCAGUGGGGAAUAUUGCACAAUGGGCGGAAGCCUGAUGCAGCAACGCCGCGUGCGGGAUGACGGCCUUCGGGUUGUAAACCGCUUUCGCCUGUGACGAAGCGUGAGUGAUGGUAAUGGGUAAAGAAGCACCGGCUAACUACGUG